GACGAACGCUGGCGGCGUGCUUAACACAUGCAAGUCGAACGGAAAGGCCCCUUUGGGGGUACUCGAGUGGCGCACGGGUGCGUAACACGUGAGUAACCUGCCCUUGACUUCGGGAUAACUUCAGGAAACUGGGGCUAAUACCGGAUAGGAAUCCUUGCUGCAUGGUGGGGGUUGGAAAGCUUCGGCGGUUUUGGAUGGACUCGCGGCUUAUCAGCUUGUUGGUGGGGUAGUGGCUUACCAAGGCUUUGACGGGUAGCCGGCCUGAGAGGGCGACCGGCCACAUUGGGACUGAGAUACGGCCCAGACUCCUACGGGAGGCAGCAGUGGGGAAUAUUGCACAAUGGGCGGAAGCCUGAUGCAGCAACGCCGCGUGCGGGAUGACGGCCUUCGGGUUGGAAACCGCGUUCAGCAGGGGCGAAGCUUGUGGUGACGGUACCUGCAGAAGAAGCACCGGCCAACUACGUG
RNAcentral lists this ribosomal RNA (465 nucleotides) under uncultured bacterium. Its description in RNAcentral is "partial 16S ribosomal RNA". It matches the Rfam family "Bacterial small subunit ribosomal RNA", at positions 28 to 507 of the family's 1533-position model. The record is from RNAcentral.